This 459-nucleotide ribosomal RNA is filed under the name Triticum aestivum (bread wheat). RNAcentral describes it as "partial small subunit ribosomal RNA". The record is from RNAcentral. Lineage: Eukaryota; Viridiplantae; Streptophyta; Magnoliopsida; Poales; Poaceae.
AUGACUAGGGAUAACCUUAGGAAGAGACACAUCAUUAAACCCCUUGAUUGUCUUUACUGCUUCGAACAAGAAUUUUGUUCUCACCUAUUUUUUGAAUGUAUUGUUGCUAAACAUCUCUGGGCCCACCUUCAGGAAUAUUUCUCUAGUCAGAUUGGCUCAUCCUUCGAAUCUGUCGCCAGAUUCUGGAUUGCUACCAAAAAGUGCUCAGUUUUAAACACUGUUAGCUCAGUUGUCCUUUGGUGCCUCUGGAAAUAUAGAAAUGCUAUGAUUUUCAGUAACACCUCCUGGAUUUCCAUUCCGCAGGUCUUGAGGUUGAUCAGAAACAUGAUGAGGAACUGGGCGAUUCUCUCCUCCGGAUCGGACAAGGACAAGUUGACGAGCUUUGUGGAAACCCUAACAAGAUCCCUCGAGAAACCGUUGGCGAUCACUUGUGGACGAACAAGGCUCGACCUGCUCUAG